RNAcentral lists this ribosomal RNA (443 nucleotides) under uncultured bacterium. Its description in RNAcentral is "partial 16S ribosomal RNA". It matches the Rfam family "Bacterial small subunit ribosomal RNA", at positions 338 to 795 of the family's 1533-position model. The record is from RNAcentral.
CCUUCGGGUGGCAGCAGUGGGGAAUAUUGGGCAAUGGGCGCACGCCUGACCCAGCAACGCCGCGUGAAGGAAGAAGGCUUUCGGGUUGUAAACUUCUUUUCUCAGGGACGAAGAAAGUGACGGUACCUGACGAAUAAGCCACGGCUAACUACGUGCCAGCAGCCGCGGUCAUACGUAGGUGGCAAGCGUUAUCCGGAUUUACUGAGUGUAAAGGGCGUGUAGGCGGGACUGCAAGUCAGAUGUGAAAACCACGGGCUCAACCUGUGGCCUGCAUUUGAAACUGUAGUUCUUGAGUACUGGAGAGGCAGACGGAAUUCCUAGUGUAGCGGUGAAAUGCGUAGAUAUUAGGAGGAACACCAGUGGCGAAGGCGGUCUGCUGGACAGCAACUGACGCUGAGGCGCGAAAGCGUGGGGAGCAAACAGGAUUAGAUACCCGAGUAGUC